This 492-nucleotide ribosomal RNA is filed under the name uncultured bacterium. RNAcentral's name for it is "partial 16S ribosomal RNA". It matches the Rfam family "Bacterial small subunit ribosomal RNA", at positions 29 to 507 of the family's 1533-position model. The record is from RNAcentral.
AGUGAACGCUGGCGGUAGGCCUAACACAUGCAAGUCGAACGGCAGCACAGUAAUAGCUUGCUCUUACGGGUGGCGAGUGGCGGGCGGGUGAGGAAUACAUCGGAAUCUACUUUUUCGUGGGGGAUAACGUAGGGAAACUUACGCUAAUACCGCAUACGACCUACGGGUGAAAGCAGGGGAUCUUCGGACCUUGCGCGAUUGAAUGAGCCGAUGUCGGAUUGGCUAGUUGGCGGGGUAAAGGCCCACCAAGGCGACGAUCCGUAGAUGGUCUGGGAGGAUGAUCAGCCACACUGGAAGUGAGACACGGUCCAGACUCCUACGGGAGGCAGCAGUGGGGAAUAGUGGACAAUGGGCGCAAGCCUGAUCCAGCCAUACCGCGUGGGUGAAGAAGGCCUUCGUGUUGGAAAGCCCUUUUGUUGGGAAAGAAAAGCAGCAGGUUAAUACCCCGCUGUUCUGACGGUACCCAAAGAAUAAGCACCGGCUAACUUCGUG